UUUUAUGGAGAGUUUGAUCCUGGCUCAGGAUGAACGCUGGCGGCGUGCCUAAUACAUGCAAGUCGAGCGAACGGACGAGAAGCUUGCUUCUCUGAUGUUAGCGGCGGACGGGUGAGUAACACGUGGAUAACCUACCUAUAAGACUGGGAUAACUUCGGGAAACCGGAGCUAAUACCGGAUAAUAUUUUGAACCGCAUGGUUCAAAAGUGAAAGACGGUCUUGCUGUCACUUAUAGAUGGAUCCGCGCUGCAUUAGCUAGUUGGUAAGGUAACGGCUUACCAAGGCAACGAUGCAUAGCCGACCUGAGAGGGUGAUCGGCCACACUGGAACUGAGACACGGUCCAGACUCCUACGGGAGGCAGCAGUAGGGAAUCUUCC
This 378-nucleotide ribosomal RNA is filed under the name Staphylococcus aureus. RNAcentral describes it as "bacterial SSU rRNA". It matches the Rfam family "Bacterial small subunit ribosomal RNA", at positions 1 to 367 of the family's 1533-position model. Lineage: Bacteria; Bacillati; Bacillota; Bacilli; Caryophanales; Staphylococcaceae. The record is from RNAcentral.